CUUUUCCAAGCAAAUAUGCGAUUAAAUUAGCAUAUAUUUAUAUACAGCCUCCAUGUCACCCCAUUAAUAUUUCUCUAGAUCCAACACAGUGCAGACACCAACUGUCAGGCCUAUAUGUAAUGCUGGUUUAGAUAGACCUGAAUCAACAGGAUCAAGGUAAAGAUGGUAGGAAAAACCUGGGUUACACCAGUAUUCUUCUUUUAUAGCAAUCAUGUUUGAUAGUCAUCCAUUGCUACAAAAAAAUAAUCGCUCACCGGCUUCACAUUUGUUGCAUUAGAAUGAUUGUUUGUCUGCAUUUUAGGGUUUAUCUUUGUGUUUUUUUCACCCUCGGCCCUGAAAGGUCAUAGUACCUCAUCCUGCUGACAUUUAGAGCAUUGAUAAUAUUCCCUCACAUAUCAAUUUCACCUAUUUUCUCAUCAUUCUCGUUUCCCCCUAGCAGAAAAUGGAAUCAUUUGUGCUUUCAGCAAUUUGUUAUUGAUUGGGAGAGCUCUGGAAAUAGAGGGUAGCCAUUAUGGCAAUGCUGCAGCUACGGUUAAAUUGAGUUUUAAGCAGGCCUGCAAAUGUAUCAUUUCACAGCCAUAACACAAAAGCUUUUAAAUCCAUGAACCUCAGGAUGGAUCAAAUGCCUAAAAAUACCAGUAUUCUCAUCAUAUCGAGAGCUAUUAGAAUUUCUGCCGUUGAGAGGUUUUCCGUAAUUCUGUAGAAUGUGACAGUAUGUGGCUGCGUUUAAGAGAAACCACAGUUAAGAUUGAUUCUCUGACUAGCAUCAGGCCCAUUCGAAAUGUGCCAUUGUGGGCAAAAAAAUUGUGAAACAAUGACUAUUGAUGCAUGCCAGAUAUCUUAUUUUUAUGUACGCUGAAUUCUUGGUCGCUGUAGCUGCUUUGAAAUAAAAUAGUAAAUGAUGUGGGCUAUAUAUGUGUGUAUUGCUGAUUUGCCAUUGGAGGUGUUGAGAGAAUCAAUAUGUGUCUUAAGCACAUGCAUGUAUGUUUAUAUGCAUGCAGGGUCACAUACACACACACACACAGACAGCAACAAGUGUCAGAGUGUAGGGGGAGGUUUCUCUGCGUAGUCAUGUCUUGGUAUCGUUGGCACCAGGCCAGCUUUGCCAUCUGUCUCCUCUCCCCCUUUCCCUGUCUCUCCUCCUCCUCCUCCUCCAAGCCAAUCUGCUCUACAUUUGCUAUCAUUACGUGCCUGCCAUCCUUAUGGCAUAUCAGAGGCAGGCGCCAGGCACCCUUUACCCCUCUCUCUCUCCUCCUCCUCACGCCCCUCUCUUCACGCCCCUAUUUCCGCGCCCACUUCGCCACAGAGUUCUCUAAAGGGUCCAGGUGGCAUCUUGCCCUGCUCUCUUCUCAGAGCCAGGACGGAAAACAAAGAAGCGCGGCGAAGAGGACAAAAAAGCCCCAAAAACGAGGAUAUACUCCUUUCCACAUCCUGCUUGGAGCCUGCUGUGCUUCCUGUGCCCACAGGCUUGGUGUUGGUUUGUUGUUGUUGUUGUUGUUGAUGAUUUCCAUGCUUCUCCCUCCUCUGGAUGGCUGUUGCAGUUUGAGCAAAAAGGCUGCGAAGUAAACCCUCCUCAAACCCUGGAACUUCCCUGGCUUUGGUGCUAUUGACGGGACCCUGGUACGUCUCAUAUGCCCACACACACACACACAUACACACACACACACACACACACACACACACUCACACACAUACACAUUCACAUUGAUGCUGCAGAGUGUUUCUCUCAGAGCUCCCUGCCACCUCGUCCGCCUGCUGCCUCGAAAGAACUGGGAAUACCAUGGGAUCUACCAGAGACUCACUCACACGUACACACAGACACACGCCGGAUUUAAUACGCACGUGCACUCGCCGGUCGUUUGAGGCUGCAGGAAAGUGAAUAAUCAAUUAAGUAUUGAUUUCUUGUAAGAUUUUGUAAAUUUCAAAGGCAAAGACAAAGAGGGUAGCUUAAGGAGAGCCGCAGCGAGCGAGAGGAGCCGCAAAUUAGCCAAUAAACACAGACGGGGGAAUAAACGAAGGUGAACGAACGAACCGCUCAUCACUGCAAUAUGCUUCUGUUCAUUUCUUGUUUCUCUAUUGUUUCUACAUGCCCCUCCAGUUGAAUUAAUGUUGAAUCCGACAAUGGUUUCCUAUGGAGACGAAGAGAUGGCGAAUGGGCGAGCGAGGGUUAAAAGCGAAAGCUGCAGGAGGAGAGAGAGUGACUGGAGGACUCGGUAAUUAGGCAGUCGGCAACACACACCUCAUCAGUAUGCGGAGUAUGCAAAUUGACCGGCUGGCUCUUUCUUUUUGUCAUGGAUCAGAAGCCAAGAGCUGCAGAGAAGAAUUAAGAGCUAUUAUUCUACCCAAGGAGAGGCUGAUAUAUGCAAACGAGGGGAAAAGGGGAGGAGGAGGAGGAGGAGGAGGAGGAGGCAAAGAACACUCUUUAACCACAGAGAUAUACAAUGGACUCCACUGCAAAGGAGAGUCAAAUACAAUCACACAAAUACACUCUUAUCCUCCCUCACACCCUGGGAGAUUGUUCUACAUUUGCACUGGAACUAGCGAAAGAGAAAACGACAAUCAGACAUGCACCUUCAUUCCCCAUUAUAGCUAUCUCUGCAUAUUGAUAGGCUGCUUCGUGGAUGAUAAUUACCUUUUGGAAUAUCGAAUCCCGAAACGAGCCUCGGGAUGAAGGAACAAGAAGAAAGGACAGAAAAAAGAAAAAAGAGCGGAGGUAUGCGAAGGCGCUAAUGAUAUUCAGAGCGCUGACUGUGUGUCAUCUGCAUGAUGACAACGGCCAAUUAUAAUGAACCAUUGGCUCUCUGCCACAGAUAAGUAGAAGAGAGAAGGAUAUGGGUGAAGAGGAGGGGGAAGUGGAAAGAACUUCCCCGUCCCUUUCUUCUUAAUUUGCCGCUGAUAUUUGCAGAUUCUGUGUCGUGUGGAUUUACAGUAACGAUGCAUGUUGGAAAAAAAAAUGACAACCUUUCCUUGCAUUGUCCCUUAAAUGGAAUAAAGGCCACAGAAGAUGAGAGUGUCCCUCCAUGUAGGAUUUAUGGCUGCUUGGGGGUGGUAUUCCAUCGCCAUGUUGCUCAACUGGGCUUUGGUUCUGGUGGCAUUCGCUCCCGUACCAACCAUCGCUCUGACGAGCCAAAGAGUCUGUUGGAAAACACACAAGCAUAUGCACACACGGCAGCAUCUUUCAUAGUUCCGCCGUCUCCCCUUCCUCAUCACACUACAAAAUGCCUCCCCAUCACCGUUUUGCAUAUUCGCAUGCUGCCCCGCCUGCCACAAAGGACUAAACAGCCGUAUGCAAAACAGUCUGGCAUCCCCACUUACAUAGUGAUGAGACGAACAGUGUGAGAAGGAGGGGGCGG
RNAcentral lists this long non-coding RNA (3353 nucleotides) under Dicentrarchus labrax (European seabass). RNAcentral describes it as "lncRNA (ENSDLAG00005032303.1)". Lineage: Eukaryota; Metazoa; Chordata; Actinopteri; Moronidae. The record is from RNAcentral.